Molecule: long non-coding RNA, 774 nt
Organism: Aphis gossypii (cotton aphid)
Lineage: Eukaryota; Metazoa; Arthropoda; Insecta; Hemiptera; Aphididae
Exons: 3
Source: RefSeq, a predicted model, not a curated record
CGGCGAAAACAUCCGACAGACACUUUAUUAUAGCCUUUAGGUAUAAUGCGUUCAAAAGACGAGUGUAAAACGUAUAAAAAUAUUUAUCACGUUCUUAUGAAUAUAAAUACAAUCACACCAAUCUUUUGUUUUCAAUUUUCACAGAAACUCAAACUUUUCUUAUUAUUAUACACUGUUAACAAUUUUGAUUACAUUAAUAUUUUGUUUUGUGCUUUUACUUUUUAAUUAGUGUAUAUUCAUAAAUUUUGUUCUUUUUCGCCGGGGACACGAAUAUUAUGAAACUAAUAAUUAUUUUGUUUAUUACCGUCAUUUUUAAUCUUGAAAUACAAUGGAAUACAUAAUUGUUGUGUGUUUGGAACAUUAAAUCACGAUGAAUAUUAACGCAGCCACGAAAAUAUAUAGGCCACGAGACAAAUUUCAUUUAGCCAAUAAGUCUGCACUAACGUCAGAUACGACAAUCAUAAUAUUAUUGUUCUCAUUUUGUUUUCAUUUUAGCUAGAUAUCAAUUAUAUAUACCUACACAAGAUGACAUAUAAUAAUUAGAAAUCAUACGAGAUUUUUUAGUAAAAUAAAGGCGAUAAUAACAACUACUGAUAAAAUUUUCUUGCACCGAGGUCCUGUGUGCUCAAAAGAGUUUCGUGUGCAUUGAAAACGAAACACCCUGAAUACUAGUAUAGGUAUGGAUUUACAUGGUUGGAUGAAUAAGAUAAAUGUGUCGGUAGAAUAAGAAGGACAGUUGAAAAGUAUGUGAAAUUGCCCAAGAAUUAUUCAGUG